UUGUAAACAUGCUGUGGUCUCCCUCUCUUAACACGCAGGUCACCCCUUAAGUCUCGUCUCCUGGGGACUAAUAUUCUAAGUCUCAGAAGAGAGAGGCUCCGGGCAGAGAAGAAAGAUGAGUGACCUCUCCAAAUGAUGGAUCUCAGUCUCCCCAUCUGUGCAACAAGGACCUUCAGUUGGAUGACGUCCCAGGUUAAAGAGGAAAGGGUGGGGCUCCCACAAGCCGGCUCCUCGCGUCUGUGACGAGAGAUCCCGCUUCCACCUUUAUCUGCAGCCGGUCGAGCCGCCGAGGCCAGUGGCAAGCCUGUAGUAGGACUUAAAAUGGCUUGGCAGCAAAUGUCAGAGCUGUUUGAUCUGCUUUUAGAAAAUCACCUUUCGAGGCCCUCGAAGAUACUUGACACUUUGCAAAGAGAUUAAAAACUUUUCAGCUGACUUGGAAAAAGAGACCAAGUGGGUUUGAUUCCCUGGGAAGCAGGAGGGGGGCUCCGGCUAUGCCCAGGGCCAGGGAGUCUGAAGCCUGUGGCCUCGCUUUAAAGCGAAGAGCCAGCUCCCAGCAUGGCUGC
RNAcentral lists this long non-coding RNA (563 nucleotides) under Mustela putorius furo (domestic ferret). RNAcentral describes it as "lncRNA (ENSMPUG00000029971.1)". Lineage: Eukaryota; Metazoa; Chordata; Mammalia; Carnivora; Mustelidae. The record is from RNAcentral.